This is a non-coding RNA of Procambarus clarkii (red swamp crayfish), 1419 nucleotides long. Lineage: Eukaryota; Metazoa; Arthropoda; Malacostraca; Decapoda; Cambaridae. The record is from RefSeq and is a predicted model, not a curated record.
CACGGGCGACAUCAUGGACCCAGCCAUCCUGGCCAGACUGCCAUAUCCGCUCCUCUAUCUACGUCUGUCAGUAAUUCGCUGCCUCACAGAUGACAGCCCUGACAUCGAUUGGUGCUGCGACUUGGCUCGUCAACUGUGUCCCGAAUCCAGUAAAGGGUUCUAUUUUGAAAUUGAUUUCGCUGAUACUCACCUCACUAGUGUUGGUGUGGAGAGCCUAGCACGAAGCCUCCACCAGAAGGGCAUCACCACUAGUGGCCUUUCUGUCUAUACCAAGGACUCGCUUCCCCAGGAGGAUGAAGAUCGCCUCAAGGAGCUUGUUGACUCACUUGGCCUCGGAUUUCUUUUGUGUCUAGAAGCGAGUUGAGAGCCAAAAAGUAUUCACAAUAUGCAUGUGUGAUGACACAUCUAUGAGGGAACUCAGAAGGAGAGACUUCCGACGAGCGACUGCCACAGUACACAAUCCAAGACCUUUUCAGAGUGCUGUUUAAGACCGAGACGUAUCAACCACGUUGAGCUAAUUCCCGAUAAACAAAUGGCACCUUUAUAGCUGCCUGGGGAAAGUAAUUAAUAAAUAAAUAAAUAAAUAUGUUUAUUCAGGGCUCUGGGUGGUGGUCUCCUGUAUGAUGCCUCCUGCAGUUCUACUUGGAUUUGUCCCUUGAGUGUCGAAAAAGGUCGCAAUCUACCGUGCCUCUCUGGGGAAUGCUGGGGUACAAGGACACCCUGUCCAGAGGAUGAAGGUUUGCCCCUAAUGGAAUAGGUUCCCUGUGGUUUUGUGAUCUGGCCAGAAAGUCCAUAACAUCCUUCAGGCGUUCCAGCAAGAGGCCCAAAAGCGGCACGAAGAUUGCCAUGCAUAUCAGAUCUAUGGGCCACGUUGACGCCCCACAGCCACUCAGUAUGGACCUUCCUGACCAUGUGUGCAUCUGGAUUUAAUGAUUUAUGUAUUUUUGGCAGGACGUAUGGUGGCGGUAUUGCAUGUGAAAAUGUUAUGAAUGCAUCCCUGGCCGCUGCUGUGAGGAGUCCCUCUGUACCGUUUGUGUUGGAGUAUACUGUCAGUACCGAGUUCCGACUUCUUUCCUUGUGCGUUUCCCACUGCCUCUCCUAGAAUUGUAUCAGAUGGUUUGUGGGAGCAUCUAGUUGGCGGAGGCCUUCCCGCCUGUAGUUCUCCGUUCCCCAUACUGCCAUUGUCGCCCCUUUGUCGGUUACUUUAAUCACUAUGUCCGUCCUAUUGUUUAGUUCCAUAAGGGCAUCCCACUCUAUCUUUGUAGGAUUUUGCCCGACUACAGAGCAGGGUUUCUCCCCAACCUGUCCUCUUAAAAAACAUCGCUUCUGGCCGUUUGCCCGUAUGGCCGAAAGUGGACGUAAUUUGAAAAUGAAAAUAAAUUAAAUUAAAUUUGAGAUUUUUUUUCAACACCAGUAAGA